Molecule: ribosomal RNA, 1406 nt
Filed under: uncultured organism
Description: bacterial SSU rRNA
Rfam family: Bacterial small subunit ribosomal RNA
Source: RNAcentral
GCUCAGGACGAACGCUGGCGGCGUGCCUAAUACAUGCAAGUUGAACGAUGAGGCUCCUUCGGGAGUACAUCAGUAGCGGACGGGUGAGUAACGCGUAGGAAAUCUGCCCUAAGGAAGGGGAUAACAUUGGGAAACCAGUGCUAAUACCCUAUAUGUGCUAAGCUGAAAUGCUUAUCAUGAAAACUCCGGUGCCUUAGGAUGAGCCUGCGUCUGAUUAGCUAGUUGGUGGGGUAAAUGCCCACCAAGGCGACGAUCAGUAGCUGGUUUGAGAGGAUGAUCAGCCACAAUGGGACUGAGACACGGCCCAUACUCCUACGGGAGGCAGCAGUAGGGAAUUUUGCGCAAUGGACGAAAGUCUGACGCAGCAACGCCGCGUGAGCGAUGAAGCCCUUAGGGGUGUAAAGCUCUGUCAGUAGGGACGAAUUUUGACGGUACCUACAGAGGAAGCAUCGGCUAACUACGUGCCAGCAGCCGCGGUAAGACGUAGGAUGCAAGCGUUGUCCGGAUUUAUUGGGCGUAAAGAGUUCGUAGGUGGUAUGUUAAGUCUGAUGUUAAAGCCCGAGGCUCAACCUCGGAUCGGCAUUGGAUACUGGCAUGCUAGAGUGCGGUAGAGGCAAGGGGAACUCCCAGUGUAGCGGUGAAAUGCGUAGAUAUUGGGAGGAACACCAGUGGCGUAAGCGCCUUGCUGGGCCGUAACUGACGCUGAGGAACGAAAGCCAGGGUAGCGAAUGGGAUUAGAUACCCCAGUAGUCCUGGCCGUAAACGAUGGAUACUAGGUGUUGCGGGUAUCGACCCCUGCAGUGCCGAAGCUAACGCGAUAAGUAUCCCGCCUGGGGAGUACAUACGCAAGUAUAAAACUCAAAGGAAUUGACGGGGGCCCGCACAAGCGGUGGAACAUGUGGUUUAAUUCGAAGCAACGCGAAGAACCUUACCAGGGCUUGACAUCCCGAGAAUCCUGUGGAAACACGGGAGUGCUCUUCGGAGAACUCGGUGACAGGUGGUGCAUGGUUGUCGUCAGCUCGUGUCGUGAGAUGUUGGGUUAAGUCCCGCAACGAGCGCAACCCUUGUUGUUAGUUGCUGGCAAGAGUAUACUCUUGUCGAGCUCUCUAGCAAGACUGCCGGUGACAAACCGGAGGAAGGUGAGGAUGACGUCAAAUCAUCAUGCCCCUUAUGCUCUGGGCUACACACGUGUUACAAUGGAUGAGACAACGAGCAGCCAACUAGCAAUAGUGAGCGAAUCUCAUAAACUUAUCCUCAGUUCGGAUCGGAGUCUGCAACUCGACUCCGUGAAGCUGGAAUCGCUAGUAAACGCAGAUCAGCACGCUGCGUUGAUACGUUCCCGGGCCUUGUACACACCGCCCGUCACACCAUGGAAGUCGACCACACCCGAAGUCGGUGAGUUAACC